This 1098-nucleotide long non-coding RNA is filed under the name Lepisosteus oculatus (spotted gar). RNAcentral's name for it is "lncRNA (ENSLOCG00000022997.1)". Lineage: Eukaryota; Metazoa; Chordata; Actinopteri; Semionotiformes; Lepisosteidae. The record is from RNAcentral.
CUUGAAUUUAAUUCUAGGAAUCAAUGGGUGUUCUCCAGUCUCACUGCCUGCUAACAAUGUUCAUCAGCUAAGAGAAGAGAAAGGUGGUGAUUUCUCAAAGCCCUUCACUGUACACAGGUCAAUCUCAGUAGUGAGAUUUGGUAGCUUGGUUACCUAUAGAAUUGGAGACCUAGAGACUUUGCUGCACAAGUGUCCACACCAGCUGCCAGUUCUGAGGAAGAGGAAUUGAUGCUGCAUCUUGUUGCCAUGGUUCAGCUGUGAAAACCACACCUCAUGGAACAAAAGCUUUUAAAGUAUGUGCUUAUCUCCUUUCAAGUCAGGACAGCUUUCUGAGACACGCAACUCUUUGAACUGUGUUACAUUAACCAAUACCCUGAUGACAUCAUGCUACACGACUGAUGAAAGUAAGUGGAUUUACAAGAACAGAUUGCAAGUCCUGGCAACUUCAAGAAUGGCUGCCAGAGCCGACUUGGACCACAAAGCCAUGAAAUACCUUGCUGAUAUAGGCAGCGUGUUUGGAGAAAAUCGCCUUCACAGUACGCACGCAGGUUUGCUGGAAAAGUUCCUUCUGCCUGGGAGCCAUUCCUGACGCAAGAAAUUGCAAUGGAAAGGCAGUGGACAUCACUACGAGGGUCGAAAUAAGAGAGCUGGGAUCUGUGCAUGGCUCAGCCCCCAAUUCCAUGCAUCCCUGACCAGCGUGUUGGAAAGAAACAGGGCCGGGAGCAGGAAUAGAGCAUUUCCGCACCUCAGCCUCCCUGCAAAUAGACAGCCAGUGAAACAGGAUACGAAAGAGAUGAGUAGCCCGCUGCGCUCCUGAAACACAUUAAUGUAACUUAAUGGAGUAUCUGGCUCCACGAGGCCUUACCGUCCAUUAUCUGAGGCUUGGCAUUACAGCAGAGAUGGACUGUCUUGUUAUAGUGACCUUUUGAAAAAAUCAUCUAGAAGCCACUAUGCCAGUUAACCGCCUUCCCAAAUUCCAUAAUGCAUCAAUCAUCACUGUUAUUGUAUGCGCCCCUCCCACCCCAACCUCCCCCCCCCCGGCACUUCCCUGCAUCCGUUACCGAUUUACGUCCGAGAAAUUGUCUGUGACUGAUUCAC